CAAUAGCGUAUAUUAAAGUUGUUGCAGUUAAAAAGCUCAUAGCUGAACUGAUAUCAUGAGCCUAUAUCUACCUUAAUUGGUUUGAUGUGUUGGCAUUGUGAUACAAAUUUGUUACACGUUGUCCUUUUGGAUAAUGUAGUAUCAAACUUUUACUUUGAGUAAAUUAGAGUGUUUCAAGCAGGUUUUCUGCUCCUGAAUACUUCAGCAUGGAAUAAUAAUACAAGACUUCUGUUUUGCAUUUAUUGGUUGGAAUACAGAAGUAAUGGUUAAUAGGAACAGCUGGGGACAUUCGUAUUCAUCAGUCAGAGGUGAAAUUCUUAGAUUUGAUGAAGACGAACUAACGCGAAAGCAUUUGUCAAAAAUGUUUUCAUUAG
RNAcentral lists this ribosomal RNA (374 nucleotides) under uncultured eukaryote. RNAcentral describes it as "partial 18S ribosomal RNA". It matches the Rfam family "Eukaryotic small subunit ribosomal RNA", at positions 592 to 976 of the family's 1831-position model. The record is from RNAcentral.